CUCUGGCGGUAAAAUCUACACUUGUAAUCGGGGGACAAAAACGAGGAUUAGAUACCCUCUUAUUCUCCUGGCCAAGGUAGUAACUAGCUAUGUUCUUCAAACCUAAAGGAUUUGGCGGUGCUCUAUCCUAUCAGAGGAAUCUGCUGUCGAAAUUACGCGUUAAAUCUUACCACAGCGCUUGUAUACCGUCGUCUAGAUAAAAUCAGUAGGUUUUAUCACACCUAUGGCAGAUCAAGGUGCAGCCUGCUAUGGGGUUACAAUCCCAACAAAGUUGGAUUUGAAAGUAAGGAUUAUUACGCCAGUGAACAGGCAAUUGAGCAUGCACAUAUCGCCCGUCACUCUCA
This 344-nucleotide ribosomal RNA is filed under the name Ligia baudiniana. RNAcentral describes it as "partial 12S ribosomal RNA". The record is from RNAcentral. Lineage: Eukaryota; Metazoa; Arthropoda; Malacostraca; Isopoda; Ligiidae.